AGGACGAACGCUGGCGGCGUGCCCAACACAUGCAAGUCGAACGGACUGAUUCCCUUCGGGGAUGAAAGUUAGUGGCGGACGGGUGAGUAACGCGUGAGCAACCUGCCUUUCAGAGGGGAAUAACGUUUGGAAACAGACGCUAAUACCGCAUAACGCAUAGGUGUCGCAUGGCAUUUAUGCCAAAGGAGCAAUCCGCUGAAAGAUGGGCUCGCGUCCGAUUAGAUAGUUGGUGGGGUAACGGCCUACCAAGUCGACGAUCGGUAGCCGGACUGAGAGGUUGAACGGCCACAUUGGGACUGAGACACGGCCCAGACUCCUACGGGAGGCAGCAGUGGGGGAUAUUGCACAAUGGGCGGAAGCCUGAUGCAGCAACGCCGCGUGAGGGAAGACGGUUUUCGGAUUGUAAACCUCUGUCUUUGGUGACGAAGAAAUGACGGUAGCCGAGGAGGAAGCCACGGCUAACUACGUGCCAGCAGCGGC
Molecule: ribosomal RNA, 480 nt
Filed under: uncultured bacterium
Lineage: Bacteria
Description: bacterial SSU rRNA
Rfam family: Bacterial small subunit ribosomal RNA
Source: RNAcentral